Molecule: long non-coding RNA, 10539 nt
Filed under: Brassica napus (rape)
Lineage: Eukaryota; Viridiplantae; Streptophyta; Magnoliopsida; Brassicales; Brassicaceae
Description: long non-coding RNA (BNAP_LNC026939)
Source: RNAcentral
CGGAUGGGAGACGGUUGAGACGACCCUUGAUACCUUUGACGGAGAUGAUGUAGAGAUUCUUGGCUCCGGUGUUGUCAGCACAGUUCACGGUGGCUGCCACUGGAAGACCCAGUGACAUCCUGAACUUGUUUCCAGAGGUUCCUCCUCUUCCUAUUAACAAUCGAAACAAAACAUUACAAAUUUCCAGUUAAUUUGGAUUUAUAUAGUUCAGUUGACCACAAGCGCCAUUUAUCAAUGGACCACAUAAGUUAUUCUCCUAUGUUUUUGAAACAACUUAAUGACUAUCUCACGUCUAUGAACUUCUAGUUAAUAGGAUAGUAACAAGUGGAUGCCAUAAUCUUUCCACAAGUUUUUUCAGAAUUUAUAUAAGUGUUGAAAGAUUUAUAUAUAAGGUGACAUAUAUAACUUUUACGGAAAAUUAUUAAUCAAAUACAAAUAUUUCACAUUAUUAUAUGAGCAACACUAUUAAACAAUAAACAAAAAUAUUCCAAAUGAGAAACACUAUAAAUCAACCUAAGUAACAGACAUAUCGUUAAGAUCUCAACAUAUGAUUCGUGACAAAGUUUAUAUACGUAAUCCUUGAAACUAAUCACAAUCACGGCAGUACACAUUGAUGGUAACGCAGAUUCAGCUUUAUAAACGACAAUCAAUCAUGAAAGGUGCUAAUCACUAGAUAUUCAUUAUGAGAGGACAAGGUAGCACAAGCGAGCAUAUGAAUAAAAGUCUUGACAAAAGGAAGAGAUUGUUACCUCGCUUCGACAUGGUUGCAGCUCUCGUUGGGAAGAGCUCGACGGCAGUGAGGAGGCGGUAUAUAAGUUGUUAUGCUAGGGCUUACUACAACUAUUUCAUGCUGACCUGGAUAGUGAUUAUGGGCCCUGAGAAGCUUACCCAUAAGCCCAAUAGUGUAAUACAGAUUACAAUCUAUUAUGGGCCCGAAAAGCAUACUAAUGAGGCCUAUAAUGCAAUACUCCUAUUUCUCAAUUAUCUUCACUCUAAUCUCGAACAAUGCAUCAUCAUUGUCAUAAAGUAAUGUGUUCUUAUUCAGAUUAACCAUCAUGUAGUACAAUUUAGACUCUAGAACUCUUAAAAAGGAGACAUGACCAAUUUAUUUCUUUAAAGAAGACCUUAAUGUUAAUAUAUUUGACAUUAAUGAAAUCUCUAGAACAAACCAACCAUUAACAAUGAGUUUCUUUGGUUACCCAACAUAACUCUUAUUCGUGUCUAAACAAUCUUUUGUCAGCUAACUGAGAAGAAUCUGCUCAGUUCACAUAAUCCUACCUAAAGAAAGGGGAUAUUUCUAAGUGAAGAGGUGUGGCGAACAUAAGACUUCUCUCUUGAACUUAAGCAGAAGCAGCUCAGGAUGGAUCAAAGUGUAUGUGUGUUAUUAUGUUUUACUCUGAUGUUCAGCCUCAUUUUCUUUUUAAUGCCAUCGCUUUGGAACCUGCGUUACAAGAUUUUGCAGGUAUUAGUAAACACCCAACGACUAAAUGAAUCAUUCACAAAUCAUAAUGGGAUCAAAAGCUUUAGAGAGGACAAACUAUGACAACUGAUGCCUAUCUUGUCUCAAGACUAGAACAAUUUACUCACCUGCUUGUUUUUUAGCAGGAACAGCCUUUCUUCUUUCUCCUGACUUGCCUCCAGAUCCUGACAUAUGUCCCACCAUAAUGCAUAAUUAGCCAUGAAAACUCAGUUUUCUUUGAACCAAUGUAUUUUACGAAAUGUUCGGAUCUCUUACCGAACAAAACAUGUUCUAACUUAGAAUCUGUGUGCAUACAAAGGAUGCAAGCCAAUGCUCUGUCGUAAAGAUUUGAAUAACGAAGGCAAUGUGUAAAGAUAACUGACCUUUUGGCUUUUUGUCUCUGCAUAAUUCGCUUCCGCAGCAACAUCUAAAUGCCUUCACGGGAUGACUUUCAUCAUGGAAAUCUAUCAAGUAAUCCUGCGCAUUCAAAAAACACGGGUUAUUUGAACGGAGUAUGUGUACAACUCAAGAGUAAAUAACAUUACGUGUUUGGUCCAGCUCGUUCGUGGAGUCAUAUACAAACAAAGCAGAUAUAUAUAUAUAAAAUGGCAAAAUCAAUAUCAUGUCUAGUUGUUUAGCUUCAGUGACAUAUCCACAGUUGCGUGCUUACCCAUGUCAGUUCAUCCAUGGCCUUCACGUCUCGAAUGGUAAAAAAGGCAAUCUGCACAUGACCAAACCCAAAAUCCUUAAGCUCGCUGAAAACUUACUUUAACAAUCAGUGCCUUGAUCAUGUUAAGAGUGGCGAAAUCAUAUACUUACAUGAUAAUAAUGUCUGUCAGGAGUCUCUAUUUGUACCGGAAUAUCAAUCAAGUUUGCAUCCUCACAUCUGCAUCAACAGUAGAGUUCAUAAGAAGAUAAAGCACGAAAGAAACAAAGCAUAAUGAGAGUUGAUUGGUACUACCUGUGAUUGACAAAUCUAGCGACAUUUCCACAGACUGUGGCAUCCAGGCAGAGAGCUUCUUCAUCUUUCAAAUCCUUUUCAGAACCCCAGUCUGCAUCCAGAGUUACAGGAUAUGUAUGCCGUUCACUAGUAGAUCUUAUAUUCCGAUCGUACAACUCCGUAUUGGUCAAUAUUUCACCAAUAUAUUCACAAACAAAGGUUCCUUUCGGCAAGUCUUGCAGUGUUCUAAUACCCCAUCCUUUCCCUUCUUGGGUAAAGUAAACCUGCAACAAAUAUUUUACUAGUCAAACAUCACAAGACAUGAAGCAAUGGUCGGCAUAAAAGAACUAAAGUAGCAUGUUACCUGGAGUUGGCACCUUAUCCCUCUCUGCACCACUCGAUUCCCACACAUCAUAUCACAUCCACACUUUCUCCAACACUCCUUAAUAAACUUCCUAAUCAAAUGUCCUUCACACUUCCCAUCAUCUCUCUCCAAAGGGCAGUCUUGGCAGUAAAACUUACUGAAGCUAUCAGGCGCCUUCUUCAUCUUAAGACAAGUAUCCAAAAACUCCUCCUUUAACAACCCAUCUUUACUAUACGCAUACUCUCCGCCGGUUUCACGAGCACAAGCACACGGAAAGUCCGCUGAAAGACAGUCCCCCUUACAGCUCGCGCAACAAUCGUCAUCAGAAAUUCUAGCCAGAGACACAUGGACAUAAGCACUUUGGUAAACAAUGUUGUGAGGGAUGUAAGUAAACUUGGGGACUUGCUCAGUCCCAACCUCAUCAACCAGAGAUAUCUCAACGCUCUCUGAGCCUUUCGUGAUGUCACGAAUAAUCGUUUUAUACUUCUUCUUGCGAACAACACCGUUGCUAGGAUGCUUCUGAGCUUCCUCAGUGGACGAGCCUGAGGCUGCGGAACGGGUUUCGUAUUUUCUUUUCAGAGUAGCAGGAGAGUCAGUGCCCACAACAACAUUCUUCCCUUGCUUCUUCAGAGCACCACUAGGAGGAGAGUCAAAGACAUGCUUCCCUCUAGUGCCGUUAGAUAAAGUUUCGUUUUUUUUCUUAUCCUCUUCUUCUUCUUCUUGUUCUUCGUCGAGAGAGUAGAUAGCGUCGAUCAAUGCGGUGUAGUUAUCAAGUUUGAUGAGAGUCCAAUUCUCACCGUUCUCUUGGAGAAGCUUCUUAAGCACUGAGAGUGUCUUCUCAUCGGGGAUUUUUAGUUCUCUUGUUGUCUCACAAGCUUUGCGUACUCUCUCGUCAGUGAGAAUCAAAGGCUGCAUAUCGAGAUCACCUCUACACACCAAACUUUUUAAGCAAAAAAAAAAUUAAUAAAAAAUUAUCACUAUUAAAAUCCAAUUAAGUUAUCAACAAUCAAAGCAUAUUCUCACUAAAUCGAAUAAGCACGGAAACAAAUCUCAAUCGAUUCGAUUCGAAUGCAGAAACAUCAUCAAAUCAACGAGGAGAAAAGUUUCCUAAAAAUUUGGAGUUUGAAGCCUAAAUAAAUCCAAAAAAAUCGCCGAAUCGCGAAACUAAUACAGAGAGAGGCCUAAAGUAAUCGUAGAUUCCGUAAGAGAUCACAUUGAGAGCUUGCAGAGAAGGAAGGAAAGAAGAACCUCUCAGUGGUUAGUUGGGGGGGAGAGUGAGUAAUUGAAGCGGAAGCUUCUCGAAUUGAAUUGAAUUGCAUGCAGAGAGAGGAGAUCGAACUUUGUGUGAGACUUUGAAAAAGAAAUUAUAAAUUAAAAAAAAAAUAUUACUAAAAAAGUAAAUGGAUCCGAUCAAUUCACAGAGUCAGAGAAUCCGAUUCACGGCGGAGUACACUGUUUGUUUAGAUUUUUUCUUCUUUUGUCUUUCUUACUGAAGAGACUGUGUUUAUUAUGUUUUUAGGCCCAUUUACCUGAGAGGCCCAAAUAAAAUCUUUUCUUUUAAAACGGCGUGGUAUUGAACUCAAAUUUGGAUUCUGCCGAACCUACCCAACAUCGGUUAAGGUCACAUUUAAUUAGACUACAAUUUCCAGUUAAUUUGGAUUUAUAUAGUUCAGUUGACCACAAGCGCCAUUUAUCAAUGGACCACAUAAGUUAUUCUCCUAUGUUUUUGAAACAACUUAAUGACUAUCUCACGUCUAUGAACUUCUAGUUAAUAGGAUAGUAACAAGUGGAUGCCAUAAUCUUUCCACAAGUUUUUUCAGAAUUUAUAUAAGUGUUGAAAGAUUUAUAUAUAAGGUGACAUAUAUAACUUUUACGGAAAAUUAUUAAUCAAAUACAAAUAUUUCACAUUAUUAUAUCAUCUCACUAUUGUAAUAUUCCCAACCGAAUUUGAAAGCUUUCAUUGUGAAGCAAAUGGUAAGAAGCAAAAUUUCUUUGGUUGCUUUAACAAAAACAAGGGACCAGCAAAAUUUUCCCAACGUCUCUCCGAUGUAGACCUUCUCUUCAACAAUCUGCAAUACAAAUUUGAAUAUUCCAUCGAUAUUAUUUUAGUUACUCAACUCUUUUUUUAUUUUUUUUUGCUAACAUACUCAACUCAUUUAUCUCUCACUAUAGGUAAUUAGUAGCUAAUUCCUAGCAGUCAUCAUUUGUAACUUUUCUUCAUACCUAUUGUUUUUUUUGGACAAAUUCUUUAUACCUAUAUUGUUAAACUUCUAAUUUUCAGCUGUAUGAGUAAAACUCUAUAUUAUAGAUAAACUUAAAUAAAAGAAAAGUAAUAGAUUAAACGUACCAUCUCCUUUUCUACGCAAGCUCUUGAGGAACAAGAAGAAAAUAGCAACAAAGACCAAAGCCGCGACUCCUCCUACAACUAUCGCCAACGACUUCCCCGUGCUUGUUUUUCCCCUUUCCUCUGCCAAAACAAAAAUAUAUCUUACCAACUUAUAUUUGUUUGAUUAUCUAAGUUCAAGUUCGGAGUUGUUAAAAAAAAAAAGGUUCAAGUUCGGUUUGACUUGAAAACAACUAUUGCAAAUUAAAGUUAUUGUUUAUUGAUUAUAUUUAUAUAUAUAACACAUAAUCCUUAUUUACUCGGUUUGGCUAUACUAAAGUUGAGUAUGUUUUUUAUUUUUUUAUUAUAAAUUUGUUAAUCAGUUUAUAAAUAAUAAAAAAUCGUUUUUGGUAAAUAUUUAUAUUGAAAUAAGUGAUAAUAUUAAUGUGUUGAGACGUAUUUGCAUUUGUACAUAUAUAUACAUGCAUACGUACCGUGGUAUGAAUCACCGGGAUAUUCAUGCGGGUUAUACGUAUACCCAACGUAACACCCUUCCAAGUAUAUUUGACUGGCGGUGGACCACGGACACUCUUCUGCCGCUGCUGCCGCGGCCGCACUGACGCACUCGCCGCAAUCACAGGCUUCAACGUGGCCGUCGCAUUGAGCCACAACGUGCAAGAGCUUGUAGCUUUCCUCGUAGAACCCGUGCCCGUCAACGACUCCUGUUUCGGCAGCUGUGAGUGCCACCGUUCUCAUCUCUUCGAAUCCGACGAGCGUCUCCGCCGUAGCUCCGUCACAUAUCUUGUGGAUGAGACCUCGUUCCGGUGUUUCCAAUAACUUGUAGUUAUGAUGAUUAGCUUCUCCGAAAACGAAAGCAACAAAUAAAUAGUGUUGGAAAAAAAAACUAUAAAAUGUUAUCUAGAUAUAGCAUUUAUAUUUACGUAAAGGUCCAUCUCCUAGCAAAUUCACAUUUAAUAAAUCAUUCAGCCCUUCAGUUUUUACAUCAAACAAAGUUAUUAAAUAUACAAUGUAAUGUAAUACUUACGAGAAGUAGGGGUAUCAACAUGUUCAAUUUCGUACACCAUGUGACAUCCUCGGAGAUGAACCCGAGCUGACGUGGCAUUUCCACACAAUCUAGACGAAAUAUCACGAAGCUCACGAACGCAUCUAUGGCAUAUCUCACUCGGGUAAUCUUCUCUGCAUUGGAACCAUCCCGAGACCGCGUGUUGCUCGUUACCAACUAGAGUCUUAAAGAACUUCGCUCGAGAGGAUUCUGAUUCGAGUUUGCUUAAGAAAGAAUAAAGAGCUUGCGCACGAAGAAGGAGAUUAGGAUUCGAGUAACUUGGAUCUUUUCUGGUUACUUUUUGGAGGAUGUUUGUGUCUGAUGAAUCACAUUGACUGAACACUAGAGUGUCGUAAUCCAACUGGGAUGUGUUAAUGAGAGAGGGAAGAGAGAUGAAGAUUAGGGCUAGGGUUCGUGCGAUAGGAGAGAUCAAGUGGACAACCAUAUUUGAGACAUAUAUUGAAAGAUCAUAAGUUCAUUGAGUAUAUAUUGGUGAAUAGAGAUGGAUGUUGUGGUAGUUUUAGAUAUUGUCUACGUAUCUCUACUUAAAACCCGACCUAUAUAUAUGUCAUCCUGUCUAUUUAUUUGUAUCAUUUGGUUGUGACUUGUGAGGGCAAGUACACGUGAGAUCAUAACCGGUAGAUAUAUUAUAUUAUUAUCACCAGUUUUUGAAUUCGCUACAAAUGUAAAACGCAAUAGUUUGUAGAUAAGACAAUGUUUUCUUUCUAGCCUAACUCUUAUCUAAUCAAUUUCUCAUCGGUCUGAACAAAUUGUAAUAACUUGUACAGUCUGCACUCUUGCAAGUAUCAUAUUUUCAUAAAGGUUUAGAUAGCAGUAAAAAGAUAUUUCCGCUCAACUAAACUGACCUACCAAGGUGGUAGACCCAUAAUGUUAAAAAAAAAAAAGGGUGGUAAACCCAUACACGUUUACAACUAGGGGACAUCUUUGUAAAGUUUAAAUUAUUAUUUAGACCAAUAAUACCAUAUUAUAUACUCUCCAUUUCUAAAAGAUCUAUAUUAUAGUUUUUUACAUUUAAAAAAAAACAUUUAAAAUUAUAUUUUUAAUACAUUGUUUUUCUUAAUUAAUUAUUUUCAAUAACUUUUAACCAAUUGUAUAGCCUGCAUGGAGCUUGUUAUCAGCAAUACCAUUUGAUUUUUUUUUCAAAAAAAGUUAAAUACUUUUCAUGAACAUGAAAUUACGUAAAAUAAAGAAACUAAACGAGCUAGUGAAUCUAGAAAAGGGAUUCGGGAUCAAUAAACGAAAAAGUAAAACCCACGACUCAAUACCAAUAUUCAAGCCGAAACUGAAUCCAAAGCUAAUAAAAAGCAAGGAUAUGUAUACAAAAAAAAAACACUAGAAUUUCUUCAUUAUAAGAAAACUAAAAUUACGAAGGAAAAUAUAAAACUCCUCUAUUCUUUCGUAAAACUCCGUUAAUUCGUUUUACGACAGAAACUUCUUCUCAUUUGUCAGAAAGAUCUUCUGUUUUUUCAUUACAACAAAAAGUCAAAGAGUCAAAGAGUCCUCAACUUUUAUAACCAAUCUUCCGUUGAAAACAGUACGUUAAAUAAAAACCAACGGUCGAGUUCUUAUCAUGUCUAAAAACCACCAGCUCCUCCCUAAUCUCACGCUCCUUCCCUCCUUCCUUUUUAUCCUCCUUCUCAAUCUCUUCUCAACUGAUCGUAUAAUCAUUUCACGAGAGACGAGUGAAACACAAGAAGGUUAACCCUUUCUUGGCUCCCACGCUUCUCGCGAAAGAUUAAACGAAUCCAUUUAGGUUUUUUAGAACACACAAUAAAAAAAAACAUGGUUCGGCUCAAAUUCGCAUGUCCGGUCCUCGAAAUCAACUUAAUCUCAGCACAAGACCUAGCCCCUAUCUCAAAAAACAUGAAAACAUACUCCGUCGCGUGGAUCAACACCGAUCCCAUGCGUAAACUCACGACGCGUGUGGACCAAGCUAACCGAGCUAACCCUAUCUGGAACGAGAAGUUCGUGUUCCGCGUAGACGACAAGAUCCUCGACGUCGACGCGUCGUCGAUAGUCAUCGAGAUAUACGCGGCGGCUUGGGCCAAAGACGCGCUCGUCGGGACCGUGAACGUUCUCCUCAGCGACCUCUUCGCUCCCUGGUCCGGCUUCGGAGACGGAGACGACGGCGGCGGCGGGAACAACAACAUGAGGCUCGUGACGCUUCAGAUCCGCCGCCCUUCCGGGAGGCUUCAAGGCUUUUUGCGUUUAGGCGUCGCGCUUCUCGACGGCGGUCAGAGGAGUAUGCCGUUGUCGGUCGAGGUUUUUGAUGGAAGUCGGAGAGAUAGUAAGAGAGAUGAUGCGAAGAUGAUGCAUCGUCGUACGAAUAGCGAUCAGACGGAUUUAACUACGUCGACUAAUGAUUACGGAGUGAAGACAGGGGUUGUUAGUGGAGGAGGUGGUAGUGGUGGAGGAGGAGGAGGAAUCGUCCAUGAAAAAAAUCAUACCUUUUGCUUUAAAAUUUUCAAGAGAAAAAAAAACAGAACACAGACCCAACCAAUUGAAGAGAAACAGCAAAUAAUCAUUUUAAGCUGAUUCAAAAUCUUGAGAUUAUACUUUCUUAUCCUCCAUGAACCAAUACCACAUCAACAAGAGACAAUAAAUGAACAUAAUCAGCAAAUAUAAUGACUUUAAGCUGAGCUAAAAACAAAAAUCAAUAACAGAUCAAACGGACAAUUAGUUAGUGUUCAUUUCUCUUCCCUCCACAAAUCAUAAAGAACAAAAAACCAAUCAGCUAACUCUCUGAAGAGACACACACCGAUGUCUAAGAAUGCCGACAGUGAGUAAAUGGAUUAUAGAAUCUCCUCACAACCAAAAAAAGGAAAGAAAAAGACAGAAUCUUCUUACCCGACCAAGCAACACAGCAUCCAAUACCAAAAGGGCUUUUAAUCCUUGAAUGAUUGAACUAAACCAAAAAAAAUUGUCUUUUUAAGUAUUUGUCUUCUCGAUUUUCCCAAACAAAACAAAACUAUUUUUCUCUUCCUGAAUUAUUUGAGAAGACUAUAAAAGGAGAUUCAUGUAGAGCAGAGCUGCAGAGUCAAUCAAUAGAUGUUUCUCUGCCGUAGAGGAUUACGAAAGGCCGUGUUUUAAAAUGAAGCGUAUGGGGUCCAUCUGAUGUUUGCUUCUAUUUUGAUUGGUCGAGUGUUGCUCGGUGCUUAUAACGUCAAGGCACUACCCAAUAUUCAUUUUUAGACAUUUUCAUAAUGUUUGACCUAACCUAGUAGUAGUUUUAAAUUUGUUUGAUUUAAUUGAUCUUCUAUUAACAUUAUACAAACUCUGAUCGACUGAAAGUGAUAGAAGAAAAUUAUUUAAAAUAUUUUUAUUCCACCAAUACCCAAUCCUGUUGUUAGUACACGAGGCUAGAGCAUAUAAUUAGGCCAUUUUACAGGUUCAACUAAAGAAAAUAAUACAGAGAACGUAAUAAUAAUUCAUCAUUCCGCAUCGUAUUGGGCUUUUAUUGGGCCGAUCAGACUCGUUGUAACUCGAGUAUUAAAAGUUUAUUUUGGGCUGAAAACUAUACUUAUAGAGAAUCAAAGCCCGAACUAAACCAGAGGAAGAACAAUUCUUGUUAAGUGCUUAUAACCAGAUUAACCGAACCAAACCAGAGGAAGAACCGGUCCACAUACUAUUGUUUGAUUUUGACACAGAAAUUAAAAUCUCACAGGCAAAAUUAAAUGUUGAACAAAACCAUAAUUACUAGAAUCACGAUUAAGGCAUAACACAAGUCUAAGACAAAAACAAAACAUCCUCAACAGAGGUUUGAUAAAACGUUCAAGCAACACAAAAGAGAGAUAGAACUUAAACGAUGGCGUUAGCAGCACUAGCGAUCCUUGGCCACAGGUCGGCACACUCCUUCCCGAUUGGUCCAGUGAUAGCAGAUCCUACACAUUACACACAGACAUUCAUCAGCUACCAAAGAUAACACGAUUAACUCAAAAUCAAAUAAACACGAUGUUAUUACCUUUCAUUUCACCCUUGGGAUUGACAAUGACACCAGCAUUAUCUGCAAUCAACCACACCAACUUUCAUUAGACUUCAAACAAUAAUAGACAGACAGAUGAAGAUAUGAUUAAAAUGAUUACCCUCGAAGUACAUGAAGACACCGUCCUUUCGGCGCCAUGGCUUCCUCUGCCUAACAAUGACAGCUGGCAGCACCUUCUUACGUAGAUCAGGUUUACCUUUCUUCACGGUAGCCAUGACCAUGUCACCAACACAGGCGGAUGGGAGACGGUUGAGACGACCCUUGAUACCUUUGACGGAGAUGAUGUAGAGAUUCUUGGCUCCGGUGUUGUCAGCACAGUUCACGGUGGCUGCCACUGGAAGACCCAGUGACAUCCUGAACUUGUUUCCAGAGGUUCCUCCUCUUCCU